GGAAAGCUCACCGACGACACUGAACAGCGCCGGCGAUGUAGACAAGGCAGUUGGGCAGAGGGCCUUGCCUCCUUCAGUUCAAUUACAACAGCCAAAGCGAUUGCACAGUAAACGACGACGAUGUGUGUGAGAGAACGACAAUGGUGAUCGGAAGUGACGAAAAAACCGACGGCGACAGUGAGAGAAAACGCCAAUGGGAAUUGGAAGGCUGAAAUCGAUGAUUAGAGAGAGUGUUUUUAUUGAUCGAAAAGUUAUAAUGAAC
RNAcentral lists this unclassified non-coding RNA (262 nucleotides) under Hevea brasiliensis (rubber tree). The record is from RNAcentral. Lineage: Eukaryota; Viridiplantae; Streptophyta; Magnoliopsida; Malpighiales; Euphorbiaceae.